This 1490-nucleotide ribosomal RNA is filed under the name Helicobacter pylori Hp P-74. RNAcentral's name for it is "bacterial SSU rRNA". It matches the Rfam family "Bacterial small subunit ribosomal RNA". The record is from RNAcentral. Lineage: Bacteria; Pseudomonadati; Campylobacterota; Epsilonproteobacteria; Campylobacterales; Helicobacteraceae.
GAGUUUGAUCCUGGCUCAGAGUGAACGCUGGCGGCGUGCCUAAUACAUGCAAGUCGAACGAUGAAGCUUCUAGCUUGCUAGAAUGCUGAUUAGUGGCGCACGGGUGAGUAACGCAUAGGUCAUGUGCCUCUUAGUUUGGGAUAGCCAUUGGAAACGAUGAUUAAUACCAGAUACUCCCUACGGGGGAAAGAUUUAUCGCUAAGAGAUCAGCCUAUGUCCUAUCAGCUUGUUGGUAAGGUAAUGGCUUACCAAGGCUAUGACGGGUAUCCGGCCUGAGAGGGUGAACGGACACACUGGAACUGAGACACGGUCCAGACUCCUACGGGAGGCAGCAGUAGGGAAUAUUGCUCAAUGGGGGAAACCCUGAAGCAGCAACGCCGCGUGGAGGAUGAAGGUUUUAGGAUUGUAAACUCCUUUUGUUAGAGAAGAUAAUGACGGUAUCUAACGAAUAAGCACCGGCUAACUCCGUGCCAGCAGCCGCGGUAAUACGGAGGGUGCAAGCGUUACUCGGAAUCACUGGGCGUAAAGAGCGCGUAGGCGGGAUAGUCAGUCAGGUGUGAAAUCCUAUGGCUUAACCAUAGAACUGCAUUUGAAACUACUAUUCUAGAGUGUGGGAGAGGUAGGUGGAAUUCUUGGUGUAGGGGUAAAAUCCGUAGAGAUCAAGAGGAAUACUCAUUGCGAAGGCGACCUGCUGGAACAUUACUGACGCUGAUUGCGCGAAAGCGUGGGGAGCAAACAGGAUUAGAUACCCUGGUAGUCCACGCCCUAAACGAUGGAUGCUAGUUGUUGGAGGGCUUAGUCUCUCCAGUAAUGCAGCUAACGCAUUAAGCAUCCCGCCUGGGGAGUACGGUCGCAAGAUUAAAACUCAAAGGAAUAGACGGGGACCCGCACAAGCGGUGGAGCAUGUGGUUUAAUUCGAAGAUACACGAAGAACCUUACCUAGGCUUGACAUUGAGAGAAUCCGCUAGAAAUAGUGGAGUGUCUGGCUUGCUAGACCUUGAAAACAGGUGCUGCACGGCUGUCGUCAGCUCGUGUCGUGAGAUGUUGGGUUAAGUCCCGCAACGAGCGCAACCCCCUUUCUUAGUUGCUAACAGGUCAUGCUGAGAACUCUAAGGAUACUGCCUCCGUAAGGAGGAGGAAGGUGGGGACGACGUCAAGUCAUCAUGGCCCUUACGCCUAGGGCUACACACGUGCUACAAUGGGGUGCACAAAGAGAAGCAAUACUGCGAAGUGGAGCCAAUCUUCAAAACACCUCUCAGUUCGGAUUGUAGGCUGCAACUCGCCUGCAUGAAGCUGGAAUCGCUAGUAAUCGCAAAUCAGCCAUGUUGCGGUGAAUACGUUCCCGGGUCUUGUACUCACCGCCCGUCACACCAUGGGAGUUGUGUUUGCCUUAAGUCAGGAUGCUAAAUUGGCUACUGCCCACGGCACACACAGCGACUGGGGUGAAGUCGUAACAAGGUAACCGUAGGUGAACCUGCGGUUGGAUCACC